AUUCAGUGCAUGUUCUCUUCUGCUAGUAAAAGUCUAAAAGCCAAUUUUGUGUGCAUAUGGGAGAUCCAAAGAUGAAAACAAACGUAGUCGUAGAAUUAUAGAUUAUUUCAGCCAAAAGGUCCAAAUAAAUUACCUAACCUCAACUUUUCUUUUUACAGUGAGGAAUCUGAGGCCCAGAGAGAUUAAGAAGCUUCACAAGUGACAUGACUUGUGCCAAAUCACAAGGUCAUUUAGUUGCAGAACUGGGACAGGAAUUCAUGCCCAGUUCUCUUUUCAAAACCCUGUGGAAAAAAGAAGCACAUUGAAUUUAGCCUUUGAUUCGUCAUCAGCAUUAUCAGAGAUGAGGUGCAUUUUUUUUAAGAGAAAUGUUGGAAACAACCUACUGAAGAAAGGCUAAGACUCCUACAUCAGAUUACCAAUGCACUUUGUCAUAAAUAUUUCAGAAUGCCUAUGAGAAAAAGAAUAAAGCUAAAUCAAGUCCAGAAUACAGAGACAAAUCACUGCUGCAUUGACAGAGUUCUCAACAUUCAUCAAAUUAUACAAUAGUCAGAGGAGUUUCCUGUGGAUAUAAGGUCCAUUUGAAUCCUUAAGAAAAAGAGUGGAUAUUGAAGAAAUAUGUUCUUUAUUCUGAGCAGAAAGGCCAGCAAAAAAGAUAAUGGAUUUGCCAAAAUAUAUCAGGACAAUACUAUUAGCCAUAGGUAAUUGGAUGAUAAAAAUUGCUGUUACCUUUAUGUGCUUUUGAAACUCUACAUGAUUUUCUUUGCAAAAAGGUCAUUAAUAAAAAAUUGCAUAAUUUAAUGGGUUUCAUCUCAUUUUUGUAGUUCAAAUCAAUCACCUCAAUGGCAAUCAGAUAUUAAGCACAUUGUAUUAUUUAUCUAUAGCCUUUGAGAAGAGAAAAAAAAUUUAGUUCACUUUUAAUUAAAUAUCUGUUGAUCCCCAAAUUUAAUACUAUUUCUGAUAAACUCAUGUAAAAGAAAUAAAGUGAAUAUAGAUAGCUUUAAAUGGAAUUCAUUUUUAAAAACUUGUCAGAGGACCCUGUUAACAUCUUUCCAUGUCCUAACAUGGCUAUAACUUAAAAAUAGGCCUGAGAAUAGAUCAUUAUAGGCCAUAAUCUACUAAUUAACUAAAAUUUUUUGAUUUCCCAUAUAGGCAUCUCCAAAUGUUUUCUAGAUCUUGAGUUUUAUUCUAAUAUUACCUACUCUAUCAUAAGCACACUCUAGUGUAGCUUUAACUUAACACAGAGAUAAUUUUCCAAAAAGAGUUGUGCAAUACAAGAAUACUAUCAUUCUACUUGCUUCACACUGCAAUACAUAAAUAUUAAGUCUGAAUGUCAAGACUAUCAUUCAAUCAAUGCUUUUCUACCCAUUUACUGACACCAGCAAACAUAUAUCACCAGUACCCUUGGCUACCACAUCAUUAUGUCUGUACACUGCUCAGAUCACAAUGUGAUUUAUCCAGAAAUAGUCCAUUACUUUUCCUACCAAUGGCAGAGACCGUCACUCUGUCCUACUAAGACCAUUUAAUGAAAUUGUUCUGUAAGGACCUUAUAUUAGAGCAGUUCAGGCAGAAUGUUCAUUUUCCUGUCUCUUGAGGAGUAAAAAGCAAUAGCCAUAAAUUUAUUCUCCCUGGUUUAACCUCUUUUAAUAGACAAUGACGACAAUACAAUUGUCCAUAAAAUAUUACCACAAAUUUUUAAAAUAUUUUCCCAAACCGCUUUUUUCUACAAUUCUAUUUUGCUCCUAGAAAAUCGGGGUGGGGGGAGAAUUAUUCAUUAAUGAGAGCCAACGUGUCUUGGUAGAAGGUUGAUCGCCAUUACUGUCCGACUGUAAAGUAUAAGCCUAGGAAUAUAUAUAAAAACCACAGCAAAGGGUUACAGUUAUCAUCUCAUCAAUUUUCUUAUCCUUUUAUAGUUUUUUCAAGUAAAAGUGCACUUAAUUCCAAACUUUAAAAAUGUAUAAGCAAAUGCCCUCAUCAGUAAAGAACUUAAAAGUUAAUUCUUCCAUUUAAGCAUGGACUCAUUUCAGGCAAUUUUUUUUGGUAAGAUUGUUCCUAAAUUUUGAGUGAUAAUAGGAAAAUGUUCUGACAAAAGAAAAUGUUAAAUUAUAUUUAGUGUAAAUAUAAGUAAUACAAACAAGGUAGCCUAUUGAAAAUUAUGACAUAUCCUAUUUUAAUGUGACCAAUUCCUUUUACCACAGAAAAAUGGAUCAUAAGUAAUUGAAUCUGAAUGUUAAUUUCAGAAACAGUUUAUAAUGCCUUCAGUUCUGUUAAGAGUUGACAGGUGAGAUCCUGCUACCUGCCUAGAAAAUUAGAUGCUGUGAGUUACAAAAGAAGAGUAAGACACAGAAAAAAAGACAUUGUCUUUUUUCUUCUUUUUGUGUUUUUUCUCCAAAUUA
This 2393-nucleotide long non-coding RNA is filed under the name Homo sapiens (human). Its description in RNAcentral is "HSALNT0316003". The record is from RNAcentral. Lineage: Eukaryota; Metazoa; Chordata; Mammalia; Primates; Hominidae.